GGGCGAGUGGUGGAAUGGUAUACACGCGACACUUAAAAUGUCGUCCACUUCGGUGGAUAAGGGUUCGACUCCCUUCUCGCCCACCA
Molecule: transfer RNA, 86 nt
Filed under: candidate division WWE3 bacterium RAAC2_WWE3_1
Lineage: Bacteria; candidate division WWE3
Also listed under: 1 other name
Description: tRNA-Leu (TAA) (tRNA-Leu-TAA-1-1)
Rfam family: tRNA
About the family: Transfer RNA (tRNA) molecules are approximately 80 nucleotides in length.
Source: RNAcentral